GUGUCAGCAGCCGCGGUAAUACGGAGGGUGCAAGCGUUGUCCGGAUUUAUUGGGUUUAAAGGGUGCGUAGGCGGCCCGUUAAGUCAGCGGUGAAAUCCCACGGCUCAACCGUGGAACUGCCGUUGAUACUGGCGGGCUUGAGUUCGGUCGAGGCGGGCGGAACUGGUGGUGUAGCGGUGAAAUGCAUAGAUACCACCAAGAACCCCGAUUGCGUAGGCAGCUCGCUGGGCCGAAACUGACGCUGAGGCACGAAAGCGUGGGGAGCGAACAGGAUUAGAUACCCUGGUAGUCCACGCCGUAAACGAUGAUGACUCGAUGUCGGCGAUAUACUGUCGGCGUCCAAGCGAAAGCGUUAAGUCAUCCACCUGGGGAGUACGCCCGCAAGGGUGAA
Molecule: ribosomal RNA, 391 nt
Filed under: uncultured bacterium
Lineage: Bacteria
Description: bacterial SSU rRNA
Rfam family: Bacterial small subunit ribosomal RNA
Source: RNAcentral